Molecule: ribosomal RNA, 497 nt
Filed under: uncultured bacterium
Lineage: Bacteria
Description: partial 16S ribosomal RNA
Rfam family: Bacterial small subunit ribosomal RNA
Source: RNAcentral
GACGAACGCUGGCGGCGUGCCUAAUACAUGCAAGUCGAGCGCUGGCGGAUGGUACUUGUACCCACUGGAUGAGCAGCGGACGGGUGAGUAACGCGUAGGGAAUCUGCCUUUGAGCGGGGGACAACAUUGGGAAACGAAUGAUGAUACCGCAUAAAACCUUUAAACACAAGAAUUAAGUUUGAAAGAUGCAAUUGCCUCACGAAAAGAUGAUCCCGCGUUGUAUUAGCUAGUUGGGGAGGGAAAGGCCCACCAAGGCGAUGAUACAUAGCCGACCUGAGAGGGUGGUCGGCCACAUGGGGAAUGGGACACGCCCCACACUCCCACGGGAGGCAGCAGAAGGGGAUCUUCGGCAAUAGACGAAAGUCUGACCGAGCAACGUCGCGUGAGUGAAGAAGGUUCUCGGAUCGUAAAACUCUGUUUGUAGGGAAGAACGUUGGUGAGAGUGGAAAGCUCAUCAAGUUACGGUAACUACCCAGAAAGGGACGGCUAACUACGUU